Molecule: transfer RNA, 64 nt
Filed under: Euryhaliotrema johni
Lineage: Eukaryota; Metazoa; Platyhelminthes; Monogenea; Dactylogyridea; Ancyrocephalidae
Description: tRNA-Ser
Source: RNAcentral
GCAAAAAAGGUUAUCCAAGGGGGAUUUGAAAUCCCCCUUUAUUGUAAAAGUUACAAGUUUUGCU